CUCUUGGGUGGAAAAUGUCAUGCAUUGUGCCAGUGAAUGCGACGCCAAAUCCCAGAGUCCUCAACGACUACGGAACUGUGGCCCUGACCUCUCACGUCAUGAAGGCUUUUGAGAGUCUGAUCAUGGACUGCGCUCUCUGGUCAACCCCUUGGUCGACCUCCUCCAGUUUACAUAUCAACCCCAUCUAGGAGUGGAUGAUGUCAUCAAACAUCUGCUCCAUUGCACCUACAACCACCUGCAGCCUGGCACCUCAGUGAGGGUCUUUGAUUUCUCCAGUGCAUUUACCACUAUCCAGUCUGUGGUGCUGGGAGAGAAACUGAAGGACAUGCAGCUGGAGCCCCCCUAAGCUCAUGGAUCAUGGACCACCUCACCAACCACCCCCAGUACGUCCGCCUGCAGAACUGUGUGUCUGACACCGUGGCUGCAGCACAGGAGCUCCACAGGGGACCGUCCUGUCUCCUUCCUCUUCACCCUGUACACUUCAGACUUCAGAGGAGCAACAGUGAAGCUGCGGAAGCUGCGGCAUCAUCAAGACAAUCUACAUGGUCAUGAGUAAAGUGAAGAUUGCUGCAUACUGUGGGAAUGAAAACAGAGAAUGAAAUCAUCAAUCCUUAAAUUAAACACCAGUAUUACAUCACUGAUUUAUUUACUUGUCUUUUUUUAAAUGUCAAUAAAACUGUUCUUUGAAAACAAGUAAUAAUAAAAAUAAGCUUAAGGAUAA
This is a long non-coding RNA of Betta splendens (Siamese fighting fish), 721 nucleotides long. RefSeq lists it as uncharacterized. The transcript is spliced from 2 exons. The record is from RefSeq and is a predicted model, not a curated record. Lineage: Eukaryota; Metazoa; Chordata; Actinopteri; Anabantiformes; Osphronemidae.